GUGGGCUCGGCCAACGCACGGGGGAGCAGAUCUUUCUGUAAAAAGAAACCCACUAGCACGGCCUCUCCUCCUCGAUGCCUACACACACACGUACGGCACCGCCGCCGCCGUCGCCACCGCACGCGCGGCCGGUCUUCUUCCGCGGUCGUCUACCGCCCUGUCUCCUUCCCCUCUGCACCUGCCCCAAUCUUCUUCGGCGCCACUCUGAGCCUUCUCGGUCUUCAACCUCCUGCAAUCUUCAAGCCCGCGGCACCCAAUCCGAGCAACCAGCCGUCGAUUCGAGCGACCCCCGUUAGGAAUCCAUGGAAUUUGAGGUGGAUUUCCUGGAAGAGGGAGGAGGAAGGAUGAUGGUGGGGUUCAUGGGGAAGAGGAGUCCACCAUCCGCGACUCUCUCCCUCAGGGGAACAUCGCAGAUUUGACUAGGAGCUCUCAAGCACGAGAUCCCCUGGGCGUCUCAUCUGUCCUUGCAGGCAUGUGUUCUUCCUCCUCUUAUGAGAUCAUCAUGUGCAAAUAUGCUAGAGUUGUACUCCCUCUGUAAACUAAUUGUGAUCUAAAGAUCUUAUAUUAGUUUACAAACAUAGUACAUAAUAUCUUGCAAGGCUGACUAAUAAGUAGUUUCGCUUAAGAUGCUUCUAGAGACUAAUUGGAAUGGUGGAAUUCAAUCGGACUAUCAUAUGAGCAUAAUAGACUAUGAGCAUCAUUCAGAUUAUAAUGAAUGAGAAGUGAAGGUCUGAAUGUCAAACAAAAAAAUAUAGUGCUAAAUAUUCAGCCAAGGAAUAGCAAGAAGUAUAUAUCUUCUCAUGUAUAUUACGAAGAAAUUCUUCACAUGUUUUCCUUUUCCAUACUAGGUUCAAGGUGAUCAGGUACGGCUCAUGGGCUGCUACAACUAUUAGUGGGACAAAAGGUUGUGCAUGCACAUGCUUAUUGAUUCAAGGCAUAAUUAUGGGAGAUAGUGCAUGGUCCAGAUGAAUAGAUGGAACCCGUCCAUAGAAAAGAAAAAGAAGAAUAAGAAGGAAAUUGUUCUUCGUAAACAAGUACUCCCUCCGUCCCACUUAUUUUGGGACGGAGUACAUAUUACAUCAUAUGUAACCGGAGAAUGGCGGCAUGUCAAGAUCAGGCAAGAACUCUGAUGCCUGUGUGCACUUGCUGAAUAUAGAUGAUUGUGAUGGCCUUAUUCCUUGGAUGUGUAGGGAGCUUCAACCUUGUACGUAGCUUAUUACCUACUACUUUUUGCGCGUACAAAAAAUUAUGUACAUUGAUAUAUGUGGUCUAAUCAGUACCAUGCAUCAUAACCUAUCCUUUGUUUUACUCAAGUUUUUAGUUAUUUAUUUCUUGGCCGAAUAAAUUCCCUUUCGUAUGUAAAAGACAGUUGAUCAUCAUGACAUCCCCACCGAGGCGCCCCGCGUCUGGGCCCGUAAUCCUACACGGAUCUCCGCCGGGGCCAUGACAUCCCCACCCAGGUAUAGGAGCAUAUUGAUCUAAAAAAGGCACCGACCCAAUUGAACCUCUCCCCUGACCCUUUCUUCUCCAUCUUCCAAUCUCCUCUGUUAUCAAGUUCUAACAGUACAUCAAUCCAAGCAACUCUUUUCAGAUCAAUUAAGGAAUCAUUCUCACGAUGGUGGAUGCUUGAUGCAACAGAGGAUCACAUGUGUAUUGCUGGCAGUUUCAAUUUAGCCGUGCAGUUGCCAUCAUCGUCAGACUUCACUGGAGGAGCUGCAAUGGCUCUUUGUUCCAGCCAUAUCCGAUCCCCCGAGCCAGAGCUUUCAGGUCUCCUACAACGCACGUUGCUCACGUUGCUCACGUCGCGUCCCACCAGCUCCUGGUGAGUUGCUCACCUGAGUCAUAAUAGAGGGACUGAAAAUGUCAGAAGGGAGAAGAACAUCCAAACCAUUUUUUGUGUAUUGGAGUGAUUGAAUCAUGGCAAUCAAAGCUGACAUCGCGUCUCCUUCCUCGUACACACUUUUAGGGUAGUUGUGCAUCUAUAUUCCAUUCUGUACACCAAGAGAUGAUGUUGUUUUCCUUUUACAAAAUUGAACUAUGUGAGACGUUACUAUUUACUGAAGCAGUUACAGUUUAGUACAUCGUUAUCAUUCUCAACAACUUCAUAGUAAUCCAGUUCAGAUUGAGGCCAGACAACUAUUGCUUAACUGGGUUCAAGUUAGCUCAAUUGUUCCGACAUGCGAUAUUUUUUAACUCUCAUGUUUAUUCUUGGGACAUUUUACAGAAAUAUAAAUAGCAAGCAAUCAAUCAGGUUGAUCAGAGCCAGACAGUUCACUGCAGUAAGCAAUGCAAUAUCGUGGCAGAUUGUUAUCGCUAGCAAUGACUCACUGAUCUCUGAUGUGGCUCUCAAUAGUGAUGCAUUGCAAAAUGGACCGAUCCAUCAUCGUUAGUCUACUGCUGUUGGCUUCUUCUGAGCUACUAAUAUCAGGUUGUUUUGUUUCUGUUGAGCAGUUUAAGCUUCAAGGUUGCAACUGAAAUGUGAUCAAUAGUGGUUGUUCUCAACUUCUCAUUCAGUUCAUCCUGAUAAUGUGGCUAGAGAACUGUAUAUCAGUUUAUUAAGUUGGUUUCCUAUCCGUUAUGCAGUUUAUGUGUGAAUCCUGCAAGUCGUCAUGUUCAAUUGUGGUUGUCAUGUCGAAUUCGUAUUUGAUCAUACUGAGCGCAAACUGUAGGGUUAGCUGUGUUUGAUGUUGAAUCCCUGAUGAUUACAUUGUUGGAAAAUUAUUCCUGGUUUCCUUUCUGUUAGUCAGUUUUAAGUGUGAAUGGUACAAGUCAUAUUAUUUGAUUGUUCUUCUCUUAUCGAAUCUGUCCCGAGCAUAUUGUCCACAAACUAUAUUUCUAUUCAAUAUGUCAGUCUUAUUUCAGUGAUUGUUUUGUUAAUGUUCAAAUCAGCUACAUUAAACCUAAAAUCAUAUGGGAAUCAGUGCGAUUUACAAGGACUCUUUGGGGAGAUACUUUGCAACUGUGGAACAUCAAUAAAGCAUGUUAGUUACGUGGCGGAGAUGGGCUACUUAGUUGAUCUCAACCAUUUUGCAAUUCACUUUUAAUCUGAAAAACUGUACCUUAUACUGAUCAUGACUUCUUUAGGUUCUGAGGGCUUAGAUUAAAAAAAUCAAGACAAUUUUUUUGUAUUGCAGUGGGGUUGGCUGCUGUAUUGACGAUUUGGAGGUUUAUGAAUGAGGCCUGUUUUGAGAAUAAAAGCGGUGUCUGAUACUUUUGUUCUGAUUCAUGUGGUUUGUUAUUUGGUUAAACUCAUGGUCAAUUUUGCAGAUUAGUGCUGAUAUGGGGAGUAAAGCUCUUCGAGCAAGUGACAAAUCAUGUCUUUCGAGCAUCUCAAAGAUGGCGACAUGGAGUCGUUUGACUGGCAGCUUAAAAGCAAUUAAAGUGAAGAGAGGAAUCAAACUUUUAAAGCCACUCUUGCCAUUUGUGGACUGUUCCUGCUUGUUGGUGACUGCUUUUGCGAGUAUGUUCACUCUCAUCUAGCGAUGAAAUAUUUUGUUUCUGUUGCGCAGCUGCUGAAGGGCAAACCCUGGAUCCUAGAUAUCUGUGGGUUUUGGGUGCCCUCUGGGGUUACCUGAAUGUUCCUAUUUCUGUUAUCUUCUUCCCUUUUUAGUUUUCUUCAUGCUGUAGAUGAACUUUUGGUUUCUGUUAAUAGAAUUCAGAGAGGAGGCUCUCUUUUAUAAAA
This is a long non-coding RNA of Aegilops tauschii subsp. strangulata, 3682 nucleotides long. RefSeq lists it as uncharacterized. NCBI's taxonomy places the organism in Eukaryota, Viridiplantae, Streptophyta, Magnoliopsida, Poales, Poaceae. The record is from RefSeq and is a predicted model, not a curated record.